This is a small nuclear RNA of Anopheles cruzii, 184 nucleotides long. RefSeq annotates it as U12 minor spliceosomal RNA. The transcript has a single exon. NCBI's taxonomy places the organism in Eukaryota, Metazoa, Arthropoda, Insecta, Diptera, Culicidae. The record is from RefSeq and is a predicted model, not a curated record.
GUGCCUUAAACUAAUGAGUAAGGAAAAUUACGGGCCUUGGUGACGCUUGGCUCAGCCUACGCACAACGGAGGGGCCUUCACGGGCACCUUCGGUAGGUGGAAUUUUUGCUAGAGGCACAGGUCGUCCCUUCGAGCUUGUCCUGCCUACUUUUGCAGGAUGCUUGGGAGAAUCGCGAUCUGCCUC